UGGGGAAUUUUGGACAAUGGGCGAAAGCCUGAUCCAGCAAUGCCGCGUGUGUGAAGAAGGCCCUUCGGGUUGUAAAGCACUUUUGUCCGGAAAGAAAUCCUUGGCUCUAAUACAGUCGGGGGAUGACGGUACCGGAAGAAUAAGCACCGGCUAACUACGUGCCAGCAGCCGCGGUAAUACGUAGGGUGCAAGCGUUAAUCGGAAUUACUGGGCGUAAAGCGUGCGCAGGCGGUUUGCUAAGACCGAUGUGAAAUCCCCGGGCUCAACCUGGGAACUGCAUUGGUGACUGGCAGGCUAGAGUAUGGCAGAGGGGGGUAGAAUUCCACGUGUAGCAGUGAAAUGCGUAGAGAUGUGGAGGAAUACCGAUGGCGAAGGCAGCCCCCUGGGCCAAUACUGACGCUCAUGCACGAAAAGCGUGGGGGAGCAAAACAGGAUUAGAUACCCUGGUAGUCCCACGCCCUAAACGAUGUCAACUAGUUGUUGGGGGAUUCAUUUCCUUAGUAACGUAGCUAACGCGUGAAGUUGACCGCCUGGGGAGUACGGUCGCAAGAUUAAAACUCAAAUGAAUUGAC
Molecule: ribosomal RNA, 572 nt
Filed under: uncultured bacterium
Lineage: Bacteria
Description: partial 16S ribosomal RNA
Rfam family: Bacterial small subunit ribosomal RNA
Source: RNAcentral